GGCACCAUGAAAAAAGAUAGAGAAAUUGAAGCACAACACAUACACAAAUUAAAAAUAUCAAUAUAUUUAUUAUAUAGAAGAGUGUAGGAUACGUAUGCAUUACAAUAAACAAAUACCAAUAUUAUUGGUGCAACAUAAUAUCAUUCAUAUCAAUUUGAGUAUAGACAACACAACUGUGGAGAAAAUCUUGUGAAUGAUAUUACAUUUUUCAAUCUGUCAAUGUAAACUACAGGUAUUGCUAAGUAAAAUCUUCUUCGCUGCUUGAUCCAACCGAAGAAUUCAGCUGCAACUCAAUUAUCCUUCUUUUCAAUCUGUAAAAGAAAAUUGAACCUUACAGAUAUGUGAUUAAAUGUAUACAAAUAUAAAUUCGAAAUAUGAAAGAAAAAAUACUUUAACUUACAAAAGCUCAAGGCCAUAUAAUUAAGUAUCCUGAAGCAAAGGCGUCGCCAAUUCUCUACAAUCCAAAACUUCCCUUGCUAACUCCUCAUUAUCCAGAAUAGGUUCAUCCAUGGCAAAGUUAUAAAGAAUAUAAACAUUCUAUAGGAACUAUCAAUGAGCGCGUCCAUAUGACUACAUAAACAUAUACCUGGAAACUAGUAGCCAGCAUUACAAUGCCUUUAAGCAACAUGGAACUGUUAUUCAUAAACCCUUGAGGCAUCGACACUAACUGAGCUCCCCGCAAACAUUCUGUAAGAGUAGAAUGAUAAAUAACAUGAGAUAGAAAUAGAUGUACAGCCACAUGCUACAAACUAUAAGCAUGCAGUAUAACCAAAUAUUCAACAGAUUUGGAAUUUAAUGUAUAACCUAUUUUGCACAUAAUGUAAGGACAUGUACUUGGUAAAAGUUCAUGGUAUCUUACAUUUACCUAAAUAACAAAGUAACCAGGAUGGGUACUUGGUAAACGGUGAUGCUAUCACCCAUUGGAUUAUAUCAAACUAGCAGAUGAGAUUGAGAUACAAGAAAUAUAAGAAUUAAAAUGGAAAUGAACAGACAAGCUUCUGCUGUAUUUUCAUAUAGUGAUAAUUGGGAUAUACUACACCAAAAUGAUCGUACAUCUACUGCUGUACGGCCUGCAGAACCCUUACCAGGAAAAGCACUAUGUAUUACACCUAAAUUCCCUGUCAGUAAAGUAGAUAUCAAUAUUGUUGCAUGGCCUGCGGAACCCUUACCAGGAAAAGCACUAUGUAUUAUGCCUAAAGUCCCUGUCAGUAAAGUAGAUAUCCAUAGUGCUCUGCACAAUCUCUGCUAUCCAAUCCAGGACGCCAUCUUCUCCAACAUUGCCUCUGCAUUAAUUCAUGGAAUGACAUGAGCGCAUAAGUAUAUCGAGUAGAAGAGUAAACUCAUCAACAGAACUCAAAGUAAUGAUACAAACUUUCUGAUAGGUAUGCAUGGGCUAGCCUGAAUCUGUGAUACUUGCCUACUUGAAAGAUAUGUGCUAGGCUACGCUGAAUCUGUGAUACUUACUUUCCUGAAAUAUAUGUGCUAGGCUAGACCGAAUCCGUCCCGGAUUAUUAUCACUAGACGAUAUAGAAAGACACAUACAACAUUGAUUUGCGCUAAAAAUCAAUUGCAUGCCCAAUUAAUUUAAUUCUGAAAUUGCUAAUUGGCUGGGAACAACAAGUAGCCAAGCAGCAAUCAUUCAUGGGUAUUGGGUAGAAAGCAGCAGCAGCGCAAGUAUUUAGUCAAGUGAGCAGCCGAACACAAGAUCUGUGAGCCACCCACAGCAGACUCGUUGUAAAUCUGGGGAGAGCUUGCAAAAACUGAGUACAGUACACCUAGUAAAUUUCCACAAGAUUCCAUAAAAGCAUGCACCCACGGUUUGAUGUUCCAAGAGAUGUCACAGUAUUCAGUCAGCUAUCUUCAGGUAAUGACAAUGUCCACCGUAGGCCUUUCAGGAUUUUUACAUUAUUCAAUCGGGUCCUGCUUAACAGGGAUAAGUACUAGUGUUACUAACAGAACAAUAAGUUGAGAAAUGCAUAGCUAGCUCAUGCGUGUGAAUCCUAAUUCUAAGCUGUCUUUCACUGGACAGUCUGGUCAGGUGAGGUGCAUGCAUGUACAUACCCUGAUCAUGAACGACAUGCAGAGAUAGAAACAGGUUUCCACUGGGCGCCGAGAUAGCAUCGACAUUGUAUCUUACACACCCUAAAUUAGCUGCCAUUGUAGUUAGCUGCCAAUAUUCAAAUCAUGUGUUCCUGGUUAGAUAAUCAGGCGCCUGUUUACAGAACAGGAAAUCUUAUAAGUACAGGGCACCUAAAACUAGAUGAACGCAAUCUAAUUCAUCAGUAUAAGCACUUGUUUACAAAACAUGCCAUCUUUAAAAUUUAUAGAAUAAUUCCACUUGACCAAUGCGCUCCACUAAGUUCACACCUGACGCACAAGAAACUAGUACUGUACAUAGUAGUAGAACACACACACCCCAGAGUACCACUUAAUCUCAAAAUCACAAAGCAAUAACAUCAGUGGCGGAGCUAGCCCAGAUCUUUUGGGGGGGUGAAUCACAAAAUAUUGAUGUUUGGGGGCCCAAAAACUAUAUUUUUCUAAUUUGAGGACCCUAAAUAUUUUUCCUUCACAAUAUUGACCAAGGUUGGGGGGCCAUGGCACCUGCAGGUCCAGCCGUAGCUCCGCCGGUGAAUAACAUACAGCUCUUGACCAGUUCGACUGCACAAGCCGAUGACUCCCUCACAAGCAUUCAAUCAAACGAGCAGCCGAGCGCAAGAUGGGGUAGCGGGCAGCAGCAGCCUGCAACUCGAUGGAUGAACUCCAAAUCACAGAGAUGAAGACAUGAGAGGAUGAUGGGUUUGGGGUUACCUGGCGUCUGGAGGAGAGGAUGCUGGGGACAGAGGUCGCCGG
This 2850-nucleotide long non-coding RNA is filed under the name Triticum aestivum (bread wheat). RNAcentral's name for it is "long non-coding RNA (TAES_LNC002400)". Lineage: Eukaryota; Viridiplantae; Streptophyta; Magnoliopsida; Poales; Poaceae. The record is from RNAcentral.